AGUUAUAAGAUUAGUUCAAGUUUGGUUUACAAAACCAAUAUUUUUUGUUUUAAAUUAUUAUAAC
This 64-nucleotide transfer RNA is filed under the name Ixodes hexagonus (hedgehog tick). RNAcentral's name for it is "tRNA-Thr". Lineage: Eukaryota; Metazoa; Arthropoda; Arachnida; Ixodida; Ixodidae. The record is from RNAcentral.